This 35-nucleotide transfer RNA is filed under the name Iberis amara (wild candytuft). Its description in RNAcentral is "partial tRNA-Ser". The record is from RNAcentral. Lineage: Eukaryota; Viridiplantae; Streptophyta; Magnoliopsida; Brassicales; Brassicaceae.
AGCAAUCCAACGCUUUAGUCACUCAGCCAUCUCUC